Chiloscyllium plagiosum (whitespotted bambooshark) is the source of this 381-nucleotide non-coding RNA. The record is from RefSeq and is a predicted model, not a curated record. NCBI's taxonomy places the organism in Eukaryota, Metazoa, Chordata, Chondrichthyes, Orectolobiformes, Hemiscylliidae.
UGUUCUUUUCAGAAAUUAGAUAGAAGGUCAUCCCCUUCUACCAGCAGUUUGGACUCUGGAAGUGAAUUGAAGGAGCGGCCAGUAAAAGGAGAAAGUGCACUUCAGCGUGUGGAGUGCAUUGCUGGCAAUACAUAUUGUUGUGACUGUGGCCAAUCAGACCCUCGUUGGGCAAGCAUUAAUCUUGGAAUCACACUAUGUAUUGAGUGUUCAGGAAUUCACAGGAGUCUCGGUGUCCAUUUUUCUAAGGUGCGUUCCCUUACUUUGGAUUCCUGGGAACCUGAGCUCUUAAAAGUUAUGUGUGCACUGGGAAAUAACGUUAUAAAUAGAAUAUAUGAGGCAAAAGUUGAAGAAAUGAAUUGUAAAAAGCCAAAUGCAGGAGAU